This is a long non-coding RNA of Perca flavescens (yellow perch), 546 nucleotides long. RefSeq lists it as uncharacterized. Lineage: Eukaryota; Metazoa; Chordata; Actinopteri; Perciformes; Percidae. The record is from RefSeq and is a predicted model, not a curated record. The transcript is spliced from 3 exons.
UCAUUUCUCAGUCUGAACAUUCUUCAGAUUCUUCAUCGUGUCAGAGUUCUGCUCUUCUUCUUCAUCUUCAGACUUUGUUCAGUUUAGAUUUUACAUUUCUACAUUUUUGGAUCUUCAUACCUGAAACUUUCUCCACCAGCUCUUCGGUAUCUCUCCUGCUGCUGACUCUAGAACUCAUCUCUCUCUUGUCAUUCAGAUCAACAUGAAGAUCUCUAUCUUUGCUGGUGUUCUGCUGAUCUCUGCUGCUCUCAUGUUCCUGGGACCAGAACCUUCAGAUGCUCUGUCCUUUGAUAUUAGGCACACCUACCCUAAGAUGACUGCUGCCCAAUGUACCGAUGUGAUAAAUGAAAGAAAAAUCAAUGAGGAAAACAAAGUCUGCAAGAGUACCAAUACCUUCUUGAAUGGUAACAAUGCGUAUUCCACUGGAACAAUCUGUCGUAGUAGAGAAGGAGGGACGCUGUGGAAACAAAACCCCAGUCUUAGAAUUAGCAACGAUAUUUACCCAAUUAUUGAGUGUAUUUGGGAUAGAGUUUCCAGGUUUCCCAA